UACGGGGGGGGCUAGCGUUGUUCGGAUUUACUGGGCGUAAAGGGCGCGUAGGCGGCUUAGUAAGUUGAAAGUGAAAUCCCAGGGCUUAACCCUGGAAUUGCUUUCAAAACUGCUUUGCUAGAGAGUGGUAGAGGAUGGUAGAAUUCCUAGUGUAGAGGUGAAAUUCUUAGAUAUUAGGAGGAAUACCGGUGGCGAAGGCGACCAUCUGGGCCAUUUCUGACGCUGAGGCGCGAAAGCGUGGGGAGCAAACAGG
Molecule: ribosomal RNA, 253 nt
Filed under: uncultured bacterium
Lineage: Bacteria
Description: partial 16S ribosomal RNA
Rfam family: Bacterial small subunit ribosomal RNA
Source: RNAcentral